RNAcentral lists this ribosomal RNA (287 nucleotides) under Pantoea sp. October_NA3A3. RNAcentral describes it as "partial 16S ribosomal RNA". It matches the Rfam family "Bacterial small subunit ribosomal RNA", at positions 1086 to 1372 of the family's 1533-position model. The record is from RNAcentral. Lineage: Bacteria; Pseudomonadati; Pseudomonadota; Gammaproteobacteria; Enterobacterales; Erwiniaceae.
CCCGCAACGAGCGCAACCCAGAUCCUUUGUUGCCAGCGAUUCGGUCGGGAACUCAAAGGAGACUGCCGGUGAUCAACCGGAGGAAGGUGGCCCAUGACGUCCAGUCAUCAUGGCCCUUACGAGUAGGGCUACACACGUGCUACAAUGGCUCAUACAAAGAGAAGCGACCUUGCGAGAGCAAGCGGACCUCAUAAAGUGCGUCGUAGUCCGGAUCGGAGUCUGCUACUCGACUCCUUGAAGUCUGAAUCGCUUUUAAUCGUGGAUCAGAAUGCCACGGUUAAUACUUU